UCCCUGGUGGCUCAGAUGGUAAAGUGUCUGCCUACAAAGCGGGAGAUCUGGGUUCAAUCCCUGGAUUGGGAA
Molecule: transfer RNA, 72 nt
Organism: Ovis aries (sheep)
Lineage: Eukaryota; Metazoa; Chordata; Mammalia; Artiodactyla; Bovidae
Rfam family: tRNA
About the family: Transfer RNA (tRNA) molecules are approximately 80 nucleotides in length. Their secondary structure includes four short double-helical elements and three loops (D, anti-codon, and T loops). Further hydrogen bonds mediate the characteristic L-shaped molecular structure. tRNAs have two regions of fundamental functional importance: the anti-codon, which is responsible for specific mRNA codon recognition, and the 3' end, to which the tRNAs corresponding amino acid is attached (by aminoacyl-tRNA synthetases). tRNAs cope with the degeneracy of the genetic code in two manners: having more than one tRNA (with a specific anti-codon) for a particular amino acid; and 'wobble' base-pairing, i.e. permitting non-standard base-pairing at the 3rd anti-codon position.
Source: Rfam